RNAcentral lists this ribosomal RNA (775 nucleotides) under uncultured bacterium. RNAcentral's name for it is "bacterial SSU rRNA". It matches the Rfam family "Bacterial small subunit ribosomal RNA", at positions 108 to 916 of the family's 1533-position model. The record is from RNAcentral.
AAGUAACACGUGGAUCAUCUACCCUCUUGUGGGGAAUACCGUUGGGAAACCGACGACAAUACCGCAUAAGCUCGAGAGAGGAAAGCAGCAAUGCGCUGGAGGAGGAGUCCGCGGCUGAUUAGCUAGUUGGUGAGGUAAUGGCUCACCAAGGCUUAGAUCAGUAGCCGGCCUGAGAGGGCACACGGCCACACUGGCACUGAAACACGGGCCAGACUCCUACGGGAGGCAGCAGUGGGGAAUCUUGCACAAUGGGGGAAACCCUGAUGCAGCGACGCCGCGUGAGCGAUGAAGCCCUUCGGGGUGUAAAGCUCUUUCGGCAGGGAAGAUUAUGACGGUACCUGCAGAAGCAGCUGCGGCUAACUACGUGCCAGCAGCCGCGGUAAUACGUAGGCAGCAAGCGUUGUUCGGAGUUACUGGGCGUAAAGGGUGUGUAGGCGGUUGGAUAAGUGUGGUGUGAAAUCUCCCGGCUUAACUGGGAGGGUGCGCUACAAACUGUCUGACUAGAGUAUGGGAUGGGAGAGUGGAAUUCCUGGUGUAGCGGUGAAAUGCGUAGAUAUCAGGAGGAACACCGGUGGUGUAGACGGCUCUCUGGACCAUAACUGACGCUGAGACACGAAAGCGUGGGUAGCAAACAGGAUUAGAUACCCUGGUAGUCCACGCCCUAAACGAUGCAUAUUUGGUGUGGGUCAUUCAUUUGAUCCGUGCCGGAGCUAACGCGUUAAAUAUGCCGCCUGGGGAGUACAGUCGCAAGGCUGAAACUCAAAGGAAUUGACGG